This 454-nucleotide ribosomal RNA is filed under the name uncultured bacterium. Its description in RNAcentral is "partial 16S ribosomal RNA". It matches the Rfam family "Bacterial small subunit ribosomal RNA", at positions 28 to 507 of the family's 1533-position model. The record is from RNAcentral.
GAUGAACGCUGACAGAAUGCUUAACACAUGCAAGUCUACUUGAACUUCGGUGUGGGUGGCGGGUGGGUGAGUAACGAGUAAAUAACUUACCUCACAGUUAGGGACCACAUUUGGAAACGAAUGCUAAUACCUGUGAUUAUGAUUUUAGGGCAUCCUUAGUGUAUGAAAGCUAUGUGGGCUGUGUGAGAGCUUUGCGUCCCAUUAGCUAGUUGGAGAGGUUACGGGUAACCAAGGCGAUGAUGGGUAGCCGGCCUGAGAGGGUGCACGGCAAAAAGGGGACGGAGACACGGCCCGUACUCCUACGGGAGGCAGCAGUGGGGAAUAUUGGACAAUGGAGCAAACGUCUGGUACAGCAAUUCUGUGUGGAAGAUGACGUUUCUCGGAAUGUAAAGUGCUUUCAGUUGGGAAGAAAAAAAUGACGGUACCAACAGAAGAAGUGACGGCUAAAUACGUG